Molecule: ribosomal RNA, 433 nt
Filed under: uncultured bacterium
Lineage: Bacteria
Description: partial 16S ribosomal RNA
Rfam family: Bacterial small subunit ribosomal RNA
Source: RNAcentral
AACGAACGCUGGCGGCAUGCCUAACACAUGCAAGUCGAACGAGACCUUCGGGUCUAGUGGCGCAAGGGUGCGUAACGCGUGGGAACCUGCCCUUAGGUUCGGAAUAACUCACCGAAAGGGGUGCUAAUACCGGAUACUGUCCUCGGACCAAGGAUUUAUAGCCUUUGGAUGGGCCUGCGUUGGAUUAGCUAGUUGGUGGGGUAAAAGCCUACCAAGGCGACGAUCCAUAGAUGGUCGGAGAGGUUGAUCAGCCACACUGGGACUGAGACACGGCCCAGACGCCUACGGGAGGCAGCAGGGGGGAAUAUUGGACGAUGAGCGAAAGCCUGAUCCAGCUAUGCCGCGUGAGUGAUGAAGGCCUUAGGGUUGUAAAGCUCUUUUACCCGGGAUGAUAAUGACAGUACCGGGAGAAUAAGCUCCGGCUAACUCCGUG